Pelobates cultripes (western spadefoot toad) is the source of this 225-nucleotide non-coding RNA. Lineage: Eukaryota; Metazoa; Chordata; Amphibia; Anura; Pelobatidae. The record is from the annotation of a GenBank genome assembly.
AAAUUGUCAAAUUAAAAAAAAAAAUCCUGAAUCAGCCUGUAGGCAGAUAGAAAUAACAUGUUAGCACAGCACAAACGACAUAUGAUUAAAAGGUAAAUGAUGAUUAAAAACCACUAAGAAUGAAUGGAGAGUAUGAUUUAUCACCGUUUUAUGACUACCCAUAUAUUGUUUUGGUUUUUGAACAUUGCUGCAUUUAUUUUGGAAAUCAGUAUGGCUGGCUGAGUG